RNAcentral lists this unclassified non-coding RNA (255 nucleotides) under uncultured Patescibacteria group bacterium. RNAcentral's name for it is "contains 16S-23S intergenic spacer region". It matches the Rfam family "Bacterial small subunit ribosomal RNA", at positions 524 to 776 of the family's 1533-position model. The record is from RNAcentral.
UACGUAGGGUCCAAGCGUUAUCCGGAAUAACUGGGCGUAAAGAGAUGCGUAGGCGGCUCGGUAAGCGGAUAUUGAAAUCGUGAGGCUCAACCUCACAACCGGUAUCCGAACUGCCGUAGCUAGAGUAUGAGAGAGGAAGCUGGAAUUCCCGGUGUAGGAGUGAAAUCCGUAGAUAUCGGGAGGAACACCAAUGGCGAAGGCAGGCUUCUGGCUCAUUACUGACGCUAAGGCUCGAAAGCGUGGGUAGCGAACGGG